Long non-coding RNA from Mercenaria mercenaria, 702 nucleotides. RefSeq lists it as uncharacterized. The record is from RefSeq and is a predicted model, not a curated record. Lineage: Eukaryota; Metazoa; Mollusca; Bivalvia; Venerida; Veneridae. The transcript has 2 exons.
UUUUCAAAAGUUAGGAUUAAUAGUUUACAUAGGAUCUUAAAACUUUAUUGAACAUUAAUGGAGUCUUUAAUCAAUAAACUUCCCACAGUCCAUAAUUUUGGAUUUGACCUUCAUGUCGGUCAUUUUAGUCCAGUCAGUGGCAAGCAGUUUUUUAGAAGGAAACUUUUCAUGAUGGGUAUCACGACUGGUGUGCUGCCAUCAAAUAUGGAGGAACCAUGGCAUUUAAACAGUUCUGUGAAAAAAGGUCUGAGCUCGAAUUAUGGCAUGACAAAAUCCUUGGGAAAUAUGUGCAAGUAAUCAGUGAGACACCAAAUUUGUAAAAGACAUAUGAAGCGAAAAAAUUUUGUCUACAAUAUAUUGCUUAAGCUUUUGAUAGCAUGCCUUUUUUGACAGUUUUAGAUGCUGGCAAAGCGAAAUGCGUUUAGAAAAGAACAUGUCAGAAAUGUAAAUGUUAUAUAGUAUUUUACUGAGGUCAGAAACAAUGAAAAAUUUUGCUCGUUUGGAUUGAUAAGUUUUCAUUAAAACAGCUAUAACAGGAGGAUAAAUAAAAUAUUAUUUCGUUUGUAACAUUUAAUGUAAACUGCAGUAAUUUCAAGUAAUAAUAUGUAAUUAAUCACAAUAUUUUGAAGUAACACAUUUAUAUACACUAUCUUGUGAUUUUGCUUUUAUUUCCGCUGGUGUGUGUUUAAAAUACAAAAUGGA